CCUACGGGUGGCAGCAGUCGAGAAUCAUUCACAAUGGGGGAAACCCUGAUGGUGCGACGCCGCGUGUGUGAAUGAAGGUCUUCGGAUUGUAAACCCCUGUCAUGUGGGGGCAAAUUAAAAAGAUAGUACCACAAGAGGAAGAGACGGCUAACUCUGUGCCAGCAGCCGCGGUAAUACAGAGGUCUCAAGCGUUGAUCGGAAUCACUGGACGUAAAGCGUGCGUAGGCGGUUUCGUAAGUCGUGUGUGAAAGGCGCGGGCAUAACCCGCGGACGGCACAUGAUACUGGGAGUCUAGAGUAAUGGAAGGGGAACCAGAAUUCUCGGUGUAGCAGUGAAAUGCGUAGAGAUGGAGAGGAACACUCGUGGCGAAGGCGGGCUCCUGGACAUAAACUGACGCUGAGGCACGAAGGCCAGGGGAGCGAAAGGGAUUAGAUACCCGAGUAGUC
This 446-nucleotide ribosomal RNA is filed under the name uncultured bacterium. RNAcentral's name for it is "partial 16S ribosomal RNA". It matches the Rfam family "Bacterial small subunit ribosomal RNA", at positions 338 to 795 of the family's 1533-position model. The record is from RNAcentral.